Molecule: ribosomal RNA, 274 nt
Filed under: uncultured bacterium
Lineage: Bacteria
Description: partial 16S ribosomal RNA
Rfam family: Bacterial small subunit ribosomal RNA
Source: RNAcentral
AUACAGGGGGUGCGAGCGUUAAUCGGAAUUACUAGGCGUAAAGAGUACGUAGGCGGUUGCUUAAGUCAGAUGUGAAAGCCCCGGGCUCAACCUGGGAACUGCAUUUGAAACUGAGUGACUAGAGUUUAAGAGAGGGGAGUAGAAUUCCGGGUGUAGCGGUGAAAUGCGUAGAGAUCCGGAGGAAUACCAGUGGCGAAGGCGGCUCCCUGGCUUAAAACUGACGCUGAGGUACGAAAGCGUGGGUAGCAAACAGGAUUAGAAACCCUAGUAGUCC